Molecule: long non-coding RNA, 1234 nt
Filed under: Anser brachyrhynchus (Pink-footed goose)
Lineage: Eukaryota; Metazoa; Chordata; Aves; Anseriformes; Anatidae
Description: lncRNA (ENSABRG00000005853.1)
Source: RNAcentral
GUAGUUCUAGGCAGCUCAUUCAGUUGAGACUACCGAAUUACGCAGAGAGCAAUCAGUGGGCACAGGGUUACCGAGCCUGCUUUCAGCCCCUUUCUGACCCAGGCUUCCCUCGUUUUCCUGGUGUGGCUGUAGCCCGCUCUGCUGCAGCACGAGUGAGGAGUGUAAGGACUUCUUCCCGGCUUUGCUUAGGGGAAACAACCGUCUGCCCAUUCUCCUGGCUGUAUUCAUCUGCUCUGUCCUGACGUGUGUGGUCAGUCUGAGCAGAGCCCCUUUCCGAGCCAGAGAAGUGCUGCCAAGUGUGACACAGAGGGCGAGGAGGCAGGUGCUGGUACAGUCCUUACCGCUUCCUUCGUAGGAGAAGUCCCAUGCCCAGUUACCUCCGGGUAGGUCCUCCUGCUGCGUCUCUCUCAGCUGUAGCUGCUUUUCUCCCUCAGAUGCAAAGGAUUUGAGAACAGGCAGCAGCAGCUGCCUUUGGUAGCACCAAAGACACUUGGUGACACCUGUGGUGCAGCACCGAGCCGCUUGGUGCUGCUGACAAGGGCGUUGAGAGGUGCUGUGCUUGCCCUCCCGCAGGGAGGGUAGGAGUGGGGAUGUCUGGUUGUGGUGGCCGCUGUCCCCUGUCGUAGCGUGGCUGUGAGCUGUGUGUGUGUCAGGGGAGCGCUUCCCCCAGUACAGGGGCUGCUUGCUCCCGAGCAUACUUGCAGCCACGCCAGCACUUCUACCGAUCUUACUGCCCAUGUACCGAAUGUUUAAAACCCCCAAUAAAGAGGGCAGGAAUGGUCACAGCAGACCUGCCCCUCAAGGGCCCUGAGCACCUGGUGCCUGACGGGCAGCCCAGGUUCAGGUGGGCUCCGGGCCACGGCCAGCACAGCUGAGAUGCGGGACGAGCCCUUGGCUCUCUGCUCUCAGCAGAGCCGGGGGAAGGGAGGUGUGAGCCAGAGGUGGAGGUGUCUGUGGUGCUGCUGGUCUGAGGAGGCCGGUAGGACGUGGGUCGUGGUUCGUCAGAGCAGCUCACAGCCUGUGUGUUUGCAGAGCUUUUCUCCGGUCUCCUGCCUGUGGCUUUGCCUCCUGGGGCUUUGUCUCUGUCUCCAGUGCCUGAUGUGUCUUCCAGCAAAUAGCACAUGUUUGCUGGCAUAUGGACCUGCUUGUCUCUUGCUUGCAGGUGUUGCUGUGCCUCUCUGUGGAAUCCAACACCAUGGAAUAAUUGUUUCCAGGGGGUUUCUUUACCUUUGAG